This 115-nucleotide small RNA is filed under the name Otolemur garnettii (small-eared galago). Its description in RNAcentral is "Y RNA (ENSOGAG00000025121.1)". The record is from RNAcentral. Lineage: Eukaryota; Metazoa; Chordata; Mammalia; Primates; Galagidae.
GAAAGGGAAGUGAGCCAAUAAGGUAUGUGAGUAUCUCAAUUGAUUGUGCACAGUAACAGAUCAAACUCCUUGUUCUAUUUACCCCCUUCUCACUACUGCACUUGAGUAGUCUUUU